Long non-coding RNA from Haemorhous mexicanus (house finch), 771 nucleotides. RefSeq lists it as uncharacterized. Lineage: Eukaryota; Metazoa; Chordata; Aves; Passeriformes; Fringillidae. The record is from RefSeq and is a predicted model, not a curated record. The transcript has 4 exons.
AAGCACGUGGCAGCAGCAGCACGCUGGGUAGUUCAUGGUGGCAGGCUGUGUUUUUAAAGUCUGUGUCACCAGGCAAGGGGAUGCAGUGGAAAGGAUUGUAAGAUUUUGGCAGAGGCAGAGAAAUCUUGAGGAUGGAUCUCUUCUCCCACUGCUGCAUUGCAGAGGCCAGAGAAACACAGUAAAGCUCUGAAUGAAAUGGGUAAUUCCAUUUUUUAUCUAGGAGAACACCAUGAACAGCUUAAAGGGGCAGAAGUGCAGCAGUUUGGCCAAGCUAUUCCAGAAGCUCCAGUUACAGUUUACCCACAUUUCUCCUGGCAGGGCCUGAGCAUCCUAUGAAAAGGAAAACCUCACCAAUAACUUACAAAAAUGAACUCAACAUCCAGAUGUGGGCACAGGAUCCACCAGCACUCCCCUAAGCCAGCAGGGAUCCUUGUAUCAUAAAAAUAGAAUCACAUUUCAGGCUUGCCUCUAUUACACAGCAGCAGUUCCUGUUGAGAGCAUCACCAGGCAUCCAGCUCAGGGAUUUCAAAAGAAAAAAUCCUCAGUGGCACUGAUUAAUGGGAAGGCCUGGAUGUACUGGUGGAUCUGGAAAGCAUCUCGUAAUCUUUGACAGACAAGAUGUUUCUUAUUCUGAUGGGAUUCGAUCAUUGUUUAUGAAAUUAUGUGAGUGACAUAGCAUCACUGUUAUUUUUAUCCUGGCAUUACAGCUGGUCUAAUAAUUUGGAUAAUAAAGUUACUUAUUUUGGCAAUAAAUCAUCAUAUGUAUCCAGA